This 484-nucleotide ribosomal RNA is filed under the name uncultured bacterium. Its description in RNAcentral is "partial 16S ribosomal RNA". It matches the Rfam family "Bacterial small subunit ribosomal RNA", at positions 30 to 507 of the family's 1533-position model. The record is from RNAcentral.
AUUGAACGCUGGCGGCAGGCCUAACACAUGCAAGUCGAGCGGAUGAAGGGAGCUUGCUCCUGGAUUCAGCGGCGGACGGGUGAGUAAUGCCUAGGAAUCUGCCUGGUAGUGGGGGAUAACGUCCGGAAACGGGCGCUAAUACCGCAUACGUCCUGAGGGAGAAAGUGGGGGAUCUUCGGACCUCAUGCUAUCAGAUGAGCCUAGGUCGGAUUAGCUAGUUGGUGGGGUAAAGGCCUACCAAGGCGACGAUCCGUAACUGGUCUGAGAGGAUGAUCAGUCACACUGGAACUGAGACACGGUCCAGACUCCUACGGGAGGCAGCAGUGGGGAAUAUUGGACAAUGGGCGAAAGCCUGAUCCAGCCAUGCCGCGUGUGUGAAGAAGGUCUUCGGAUUGUAAAGCACUUUAAGUUGGGAGGAAGGGCAGUAAGUUAAUACCUUGCUGUUUUGACGUUACCAACAGAAUAAGCACCGGCUAACUUCGUG